GUAGUUAUAGCUGAGUGGUUAAGGUGAUGGACUAGCAAUCCAUCGGGGUUUCCCUGCACAGGUUCAAAUCCUGCCAACUAUG
Gopherus flavomarginatus (Mexican gopher tortoise) is the source of this 82-nucleotide non-coding RNA. The record is from the annotation of a RefSeq genome assembly. NCBI's taxonomy places the organism in Eukaryota, Metazoa, Chordata, Testudines, Testudinidae.